GGUUUCAUGGUGUAAUGGUUAGCACUCUGGACUUUGAAUCCAGCGAUCCGAGUUCGAGUCUCGGUGGAACCU
This 72-nucleotide transfer RNA is filed under the name Schistocerca americana (American grasshopper). RNAcentral's name for it is "tRNA-Gln". It matches the Rfam family "tRNA". From Rfam's summary of the family: Transfer RNA (tRNA) molecules are approximately 80 nucleotides in length. The record is from RNAcentral. RNAcentral also lists the same sequence under 2 other names. Lineage: Eukaryota; Metazoa; Arthropoda; Insecta; Orthoptera; Acrididae.